RNAcentral lists this long non-coding RNA (786 nucleotides) under Marmota monax (woodchuck). The record is from RNAcentral. Lineage: Eukaryota; Metazoa; Chordata; Mammalia; Rodentia; Sciuridae.
CCAAAGGUCUCCCCUCCUGACAUGACCACAGAGCUGCUGCUGGGCUUGGAUCUUCCUGGGAUGCCACCAGGAGGGAAAGCUCCUCUGCUGGCUGGCCCACGGUGACGUCAUGAUGCUGUCAGUCUGCCUGUCCAUGACACCAGCAGAUAUCUGUACAGCCGCCAGGAUGGCAUAGCAGCCACCAAGCGGGUCCCUUGGCACACAAGGCCCAGGGAGACCCACAGGGGACACAAACAAGUGCACUCUCCUGCCAGAGCCUAGAAUCUCCAGGCCUCUGACUUGGAUAUGGAUGGAUGCGGGACGCUUCCACUCUGAAUGCCGAACACUCCCCUGCUCUGCAGUCAUUUCUUAGGAGCAUGGUUAAAACACUCAGGCAUUUUCUAGAGAAGAAUACAAACCAACCUGAGAGGAUUUUGAGUGGAGUGCAUGUUGAGAUGUUUGAGGAAAGUGAAUGUCUGCAAACUCAUGUCCUUGGCAUGAUCCCUUAUAUGGGUUGCAGAAAAUCGGAUCAGAUCACCUGGAGGGAUCAUGGUUCAGUGAGCCUUCUUGUUGUUCUUCUUUUCUUUUAUUUUUUCUGGUACCACACAUCGUAUCCAGGGUUAGCUGUCCACUGAGUGUGGGGUGUUACUCUGCCUCUUCUUGAAGGAGAAAGGAUGCUCCCAAUUAUUCCAGGGCGUGAAAUCACCGGGAUUUAGUACCUUUUAGUACCUUUCUGAGGCAUGAUUUCUGGCUCUAUGUCAAAUUAGGUGGCCUAACACUAGUUGUUCAGCAGGGAAGUCAAAUUCA